CAUCUGGCAGCUGGGAUCAGACACAGCCCUGGGAGGCCUGCUCUCUGCCAGGGAGUCGGUAUCUGAGGGCAGUGACAACUGUUUUUUCCUUCAGGAGAAAAUGAAACCUGCAUAGUUGGAGGGAAUCCCUCUGAAGAUGAAGCUUUUAUCCCAAUUUCUGGGAAAAAGGCAUUGGUUUGCAGGGGACAAGCUCACCCAUGUGGAUUUCUCUACUUAUGACAUUGUUGACCUGCACCACAGAUUGGAACCUAAGUGCCUGGAUGAAUUCCCAAACCUGAAAGACUUCCUCGACUGCUUUGAGUUAAUUCUCCUGAACUUCUCACUAUUUAUAUCUCUUUUUUCUUCUCCAGGAUGCUUUCUUAGUCUCGGGGCUAAAAAUUAAGAAUACCUACCAUUUAUCAAUGAUUGAUUUAUACCAGGGUA
Non-coding RNA from Odocoileus virginianus texanus, 423 nucleotides. NCBI's taxonomy places the organism in Eukaryota, Metazoa, Chordata, Mammalia, Artiodactyla, Cervidae. The record is from RefSeq and is a predicted model, not a curated record.